CAACAGGAAUCUCAUUAAAAGAAAAAUUUUCUUGAAUGUCAUCACUCACAGAGGAAUCCACUACCACAGCAUUGCUAAUAUGCUUUCUAAGCAUGGAGACAUGGAAUAUUGGAUGAACAGAGGACAACUCGGAAGGCAACUCGACCUCAUAAGCUACCUUACCAACACGGCUAAGAAUUUUGUAAGGACCAACAUAACGGGGACUAAGCUUCCCCUUCUUU
RNAcentral lists this long non-coding RNA (221 nucleotides) under Capsicum annuum. RNAcentral describes it as "long non-coding RNA (CANN_LNC022025)". The record is from RNAcentral. Lineage: Eukaryota; Viridiplantae; Streptophyta; Magnoliopsida; Solanales; Solanaceae.